This 191-nucleotide microRNA precursor is filed under the name Oryza brachyantha (malo sina). RNAcentral's name for it is "MIR812 microRNA precursor family". It matches the Rfam family "MIR812 microRNA precursor family". The record is from Rfam by way of RNAcentral. Lineage: Eukaryota; Viridiplantae; Streptophyta; Magnoliopsida; Poales; Poaceae.
AUUAAGAUCAUUUUUCAAUUUUCUGAUACGAUGUUUUGACUCUUCGUCUUAUUUGAAAUUUUUUUGCGAUUAAUAUUUUUAUUCUUACUAGAUGAUAAACAUAAAUAGUACUUUAUGCGUGAUUAAUUUUUUAAAGUUUUUUAAUAAAUUUUUAAAUAAGAUGAAUGGUCAAACGUUGAACACAGAAAAAC